GGCAAGACCAGACAGUCCUCAGACCUCUCCCUCUGGCAACCCCACAGGGAAACAUGAUGCUGUGGCUCCAACUUCUUCUCAUUGCAGCAGCACUGGAAGGUGCCCUCUCCCAGGUGACUCUGACCCAGUCAGGGGCAGCCGUGAAGAAGCCUGGAGAGUCCCACACGCUGCAAUGUGUCACCAGUGGGUUUAGUCUCAGUGGCACUAGUAUGUACUGGAUCAGGCAGGCACCUGGGAAGGCACUGGAGUGGAUAGUCUAUUUUUACAGCAGCAGUGACAACAGUUACGCCUCCUCCAUUAAGGGGCGAUUCACAGCCUCCAAGGACAGCUCCACCUUCUACCUACAAAUGAACAGCCUGAAAGCUGAGGACACGGCCGUGUAUUACUGUGCAAG
This is a non-coding RNA of Alligator sinensis (Chinese alligator), 394 nucleotides long. The record is from the annotation of a RefSeq genome assembly. Lineage: Eukaryota; Metazoa; Chordata; Crocodylia; Alligatoridae.